UCGAGGGGCAGCGGGGGAGUACAAUACUCCCGCCGGCGACCGGCGCACGGGUGAGUAACACGUAUGAAACCUGCCCGUAGCAGGGGGAUAAGCGGAAGAAAUUCCGUCUAAUACCGCGUAACAACCCAUGGAGGCAUCUCUGUGGGUUUAAAGGAAGCGAUUCCGGCUACGGAUGGUCAUGCGUCGCAUUAGCUUGUUGGCGGGGUAACGGCCCACCAAGGCGACGAUGCGUAGGGGUUCUGAGAGGAAGGUCCCCCACACUGGUACUGAGACACGGACCAGACUCCUACGGGAGGCAGCAGUGAGGAAUAUUGGUCAAUGGCCGCAGGGCUGAACCAGCCAAGUCGCGUGAGGGAUGACGGUCCUAUGGAUUGUAAACCUCUUUUGUCAGGGAGCAAAGGGCGCCACGUGUGGCGCUUUGCGAGUACCUGAAGAAAAAGCAUCGGCUAACUCCGUGCCAGCAGCCGCGGUAAUACGGAGGAUGCGAGCGUUAUCCGGAUUUAUUGGGUUUAAAGGGUGCGCAGGCGGAAUGUCAAGUCAGCGGUAAAAUUUCGGGGCUCAACCCCGUCGUGCCGUUGAAACUGGCGUUCUUGAGUGAGCGAGAAGUAUGCGGAAUGCGUGGUGUAGCGGUGAAAUGCAUAGAUAUCACGCAGAACUCCGAUUGCGAAGGCAGCAUACCGGCGCUCAACUGACGCUCAUGCACGAAAGCGUGGGUAUCGAACAGGAUUAGAUACCCUGGUAGUCCACGCAGUAAACGAUGAAUACUAACUGUCCGGGCAGAAUGAUGCCUGGGUGGUACAGCGAAAGCGUUAAGUAUUCCACCUGGGGAGUACGCCGGCAACGGUGAAACUCAAAGGAAUUGACGGGGGCCCGCACAAGCGGAGGAACAUGUGGUUUAAUU
RNAcentral lists this ribosomal RNA (901 nucleotides) under uncultured bacterium. RNAcentral's name for it is "bacterial SSU rRNA". It matches the Rfam family "Bacterial small subunit ribosomal RNA", at positions 62 to 951 of the family's 1533-position model. The record is from RNAcentral.